UACGAAGGGGGCUAGCGUUGCUCGGAAUUACUGGGCGUAAAGGGAGCGUAGGCGGACAUUUAAGUCAGGGGUGAAAUCCCGGGGCUCAACCUCGGAAUUGCCUUUGAUACUGGGUGUCUUGAGUGUGAGAGAGGUAUGUGGAACUCCGAGUGUAGAGGUGAAAUUCGUAGAUAUUCGGAAGAACACCAGUGGCGAAGGCGACAUACUGGCUCAUUACUGACGCUGAGGCUCGAAAGCGUGGGGAGCAAACAGGAUUAGAUACCCGCGUAGUCC
Molecule: ribosomal RNA, 273 nt
Filed under: uncultured bacterium
Lineage: Bacteria
Description: partial 16S ribosomal RNA
Rfam family: Bacterial small subunit ribosomal RNA
Source: RNAcentral